GAGAAACUUGUGGACUGGUCUAAGAGAAGAUAUUGAUAAAAAGAGAAAGUAGGAGGAUUUGCCAUGAAAUGCUGUGCGAAGUAGCAAAAAUAACCCUGAUUUGGGUACUCAGGGGAGGAAUUCCAGUUCUGGAGAAACAGACCCAAACUCUCCUGCAGAGGCUCACAAACUUGUUGGAGAAGAUGGACAUAUGGACAAAAUGGGACUUUUGAUAAAUAUAAGGUAGUGUAUGUCUGAGCCUGAGAUGUGGCAUGAAUUUCCUGUAAGAACUUUUAGAUUUUCUGAUGUUUUAUUGUAGUCCUAUUUAUUUUCUCUGUUGGUGAGUAGCUAAGAUGUGAAUGUAUUUAAAUUUAUAUUUAUGGAGCGGGGA
RNAcentral lists this long non-coding RNA (370 nucleotides) under Fukomys damarensis (Damara mole-rat). Its description in RNAcentral is "lncRNA (ENSFDAG00000028365.1)". The record is from RNAcentral. Lineage: Eukaryota; Metazoa; Chordata; Mammalia; Rodentia; Bathyergidae.